CCUACGGGAGGCUGCAGUGAGGAAUAUUGGUCAAUGGACGCAAGUCUGAACCAGCCAUGCCGCGUGCAGGAAGACGGCUCUAUGAGUUGUAAACUGCUUUUGUACGAGGGUAAACGCAGAUACGCGUAUCUGUCUGAAAGUAUCGUACGAAUAAGGAUCGGCUAACUCCGUGCCAGCAGCCGCGGUAAUACGGAGGAUUCAAGCGUUAUCCGGAUUUAUUGGGUUGAAAGGGUGCGUAGGCGGUCGGAUAAGUUAGAGGUGAAAUCCCGAGGCUCAACUUCGGAAUUGCCUCUGAUACUGUUCGGCGAGAGAGUAGUUGCGGUAGGCGGAAUGUAUGGUGUAGCGGUGAAAUGCUUAGAGAUCAUACAGAACACCGAUUGCGAAGGCAGCUUACCAAGCUACGUCUGACGUUGAGGCACGAAAGCGUGGGGAGCAAACAGGAUUAGAUACCCGGGUAGUC
This 460-nucleotide ribosomal RNA is filed under the name uncultured bacterium. RNAcentral's name for it is "partial 16S ribosomal RNA". It matches the Rfam family "Bacterial small subunit ribosomal RNA", at positions 338 to 795 of the family's 1533-position model. The record is from RNAcentral.